This 376-nucleotide ribosomal RNA is filed under the name uncultured Glomeromycotina. RNAcentral's name for it is "LSU rRNA". The record is from RNAcentral. Lineage: Eukaryota; Fungi; Glomeromycota.
UUGAAAGGGAAACGAUUGAAGUCAGUCGUACCAGCGGGAAAUCAACCUUUCGAGUGGGGGUUUUGGAGUUUUUUGAAGAGUGUCAAAACCUUUGAGAUUUCAAAAUAUUCGCUCUUUUGGUGUACUUUCUCGUGGGUAGGUUAACAUCGAUUUUGAUCAUCAUAAAAAGAUUGGAGGAAUGUAGCUUCGAUCUUGUAUUGAAGUGUUAUAGCCUUUGGUAAAUGUGAUGAUUAGGAUCGAGGAUUGCAACGAAUACCCUUUGGGCUAUCCGCCUGAUCUCUGAUACGUGGCCUUGGUAUCGAAAGCGUGCUUAUGGUAUUGAGGUAUUACGGUCAAAAGGUUAGAACGGAUUACAUUCGUUAAGGAUGUUGACGUA